GCCGCGUGAGGGACGACGGCCUUCGGGUUGUAAACCUCUUUUAGUAGGGAAGAAGCGAAAGUGACGGUACCUGCAGAAAAAGCACCGGCUAACUACGUGCCAGCAGCCGCGGUAAUACGUAGGGUGCAAGCGUUAUCCGGAAUUAUUGGGCGUAAAGAGCUCGUAGGCGGUUUGUCGCGUCUGCUGUGAAAACUGGGGGCUCAACCCCCAGCCUGCAGUGGGUACGGGCAGACUAGAGUGCGGUAGGGGAGAUUGGAAUUCCUGGUGUAGCGGUGGAAUGCGCAGAUAUCAGGAGGAACACCGAUGGCGAAGGCAGAUCUCUGGGCCGUAACUGACGCUGAGGAGCGAAAGCAUGGGGAGCGAACAGGAUUAGAUACCCUGGUAGUCCAUGCCGUAAACGUUGGGAACUAGAUGUAGGGACCAUUCCACGGUUUCUGUGUCGCAGCUAACGCAUUAAGUUCCCCGCCUGGGGAGUACGGCCGCAAGGCUAAAACUCAAAGGAAUUGACGGGGGCCCGCACAAGCGGCGGAGCAUGCGGAUUAAUUCGAUGCAACGCGAAGAACCUUACCAAGACUUGACAUAUACGAGAACGGGCUAGAAAUAGUUCACUCUUUGGACACUCGUAAACAGGUGGUGCAUGGUUGUCGUCAGCUCGUGUCGUGAGAUGUUGGGUUAAGUCCCGCAACGAGCGCAACCC
RNAcentral lists this ribosomal RNA (697 nucleotides) under Salinibacterium amurskyense. Its description in RNAcentral is "bacterial SSU rRNA". It matches the Rfam family "Bacterial small subunit ribosomal RNA", at positions 396 to 1104 of the family's 1533-position model. Lineage: Bacteria; Bacillati; Actinomycetota; Actinomycetes; Micrococcales; Microbacteriaceae. The record is from RNAcentral.